GAUGAAGAACGUAGCGAAAUGCGAUAAGUAAUGUGAAUUGCAGAAUUCAGUGAAUCAUCGAAUCUUUGAACGCACAUUGCGCCCUCUGGUAUUCCGGGGGGCAUGCCUGUUCGAGCGUCAUUACAACCCUCAAGCUUUGCUUGGUAUUGGACAUUGCCAGUUUCUGGCAGGUCUUAAAAUCAGUGGCGGUGCCAUUUGGCUUCAAGCGUAGUAAUUCUUCUCGCUUUGGAGAUCCAAGUGGUUACUUGCCAAUAACCCCCAAUUUUUUCAGGUUGACCUCGGAUCAGGUAGGGAUACCCGCUGAACUUAAGCAUAUCAUAGCGGAGGA
Molecule: unclassified non-coding RNA, 328 nt
Filed under: soil metagenome
Description: partial contains 5.8S ribosomal RNA, internal transcribed spacer 2, and large subunit ribosomal RNA
Rfam family: 5.8S ribosomal RNA (bases 1-120)
Source: RNAcentral